GACGUGGGGCGCGAGCGUUGUCCGGAUUUAUUGGGCGUAAAGAGCUCGUAGGCGGCUCGUUGCGUCGGCUGUGAAAACCCGCAGCUCAACUGUGGGCUUGCAGCUGAUACGGGCGGGCUGGAGUUCGGUAGGGGAGACUGGAAUUCCUGGUGUAGCGGUGAAAUGCGCAGAUAUCAGGAGGAACACCGGUGGCGAAGGCGGGUCUCUGGGCCGAUACUGACGCUGAGGAGCGAAAGCGUGGGGAGCGAACAGG
This 253-nucleotide ribosomal RNA is filed under the name uncultured bacterium. Its description in RNAcentral is "partial 16S ribosomal RNA". It matches the Rfam family "Bacterial small subunit ribosomal RNA", at positions 524 to 776 of the family's 1533-position model. The record is from RNAcentral.